RNAcentral lists this ribosomal RNA (515 nucleotides) under uncultured bacterium. RNAcentral's name for it is "partial 16S ribosomal RNA". It matches the Rfam family "Bacterial small subunit ribosomal RNA", at positions 28 to 523 of the family's 1533-position model. The record is from RNAcentral.
GAUGAACGCUGGCGGCGUGCCUAAUACAUGCAAGUCGAGCGAAUGGAUUAAGAGCUUGCUCUUAUGAAGUUAGCGGCGGACGGGUGAGUAACACGUGGGUAACCUGCCCAUAAGACUAGGGUAACUCCGGGAAACCGGGGCUAAUACCGGAUAACAUUUUGAACCGCAUGGUUCGAAAUUGAAAGGCGGCUUCAGCUGUCACUUAUGGAUGGACCCGCGUCGCAUUAGCUAGUUGGUGAGGUAACGGCUCACCAAGGCAACGAUGCGUAGCCGACCUGAGAGGGUGAUCGGCCACACUGGGACUGAGACACGGCCCAGACUCCUACGGGAGGCAGCAGUAGGGAAUCUUCCGCAAUGGACGAAAGUCUGACGGAGCAACGCCGCGUGAGUGAUGAAGGCUUUCGGGUCGUAAAACUCUGUUGUUAGGGAAGAACAAGUGCUAGUUGAAUAAGCUGGCACCUUGACGGUACCUAACCAGAAAGCCACGGCUAACUACGUGCCAGCAGCCGCCGUAA